RNAcentral lists this transfer RNA (71 nucleotides) under Streptomyces sp. MC1. Its description in RNAcentral is "tRNA-Gly". Lineage: Bacteria; Bacillati; Actinomycetota; Actinomycetes; Kitasatosporales; Streptomycetaceae. The record is from RNAcentral.
GCCCCCCAGGCCGACAGACCAGGUGCCUUCCAAACACUUGGCCGCAGGUCCGAGCCCUGCCGGGGGCGCCA